This is a long non-coding RNA of Lineus longissimus, 2354 nucleotides long. RefSeq lists it as uncharacterized. The transcript has 6 exons. NCBI's taxonomy places the organism in Eukaryota, Metazoa, Nemertea, Pilidiophora, Heteronemertea, Lineidae. The record is from RefSeq and is a predicted model, not a curated record.
GGAGGGUCCUCAUUCACUUCCUACCUUGGCAAUUAAGAACUGGCAUGAUAGUUUGUUAAGUAACAAAUAUGCUCUGCUGUUGGGAUGAUUUGAUUUGGCUGUGAUCUGAGCCAGUCGGAGACAGCGAUUAAGAUGCUAGGACUUGGUGAGAAAGUGAAAGCUGGUCAGCAAGAAGACUCGCCACUCACCUCAAUGUGUUGAUGAUCAAGCCGGAAAAUAGUGCAGCUGAUCAAAGAUGGUUAUCACCGUGUUCCUACUGGUUAACAAGUCUAGGCCAGUUUACUACCAAGGUUUGCAGGUUCCGCCCAUACCACGGCCAACUUCCCAUCAAGAUUUGCUGACCCUUGAGGCAACCUGAGGCAACACCAUUUGGACUGGAGAUAAGAGGAAGACUGGAGAUCAGAUCAAUGGAAGGAAUCUUAUCAGAAUACAAGGAUCAGCAUUGAAGACAAACACUCAAAAGGCAGGUCGGAAGACAACAAUAGGCCAUGAUGGUGGCUUCAGACUGAAACGUUAACAACUGUUCGGGGUGACUGGAGCCAUGCCUCUGGUUAGGCCCUUCUGCAAACCAAUAUGUGUAGAUGGCAAGAGAGGCGAGUAAUGACAUUACGGAGCAAGAACAGCAAGAUUCGGCAAGUCAUGAUGUUCACGUACACCAUUGACAGAGUGAGGACAGUAGAUAUAUCUACAACCAUUCUUAUAUCGAACUUCUACAGCCUGUUUCAAGAUCAGACUGGGCAUGGAUGUCACCGACGCAAUUCAAGCGAGAACCGUCACCACACGACAUCAGAAAGACAAAGCAGUUUGCUUUGGCAUCCACUGACAAACUGUCAAAAGCAAUGGUCCACCAAUUAGGUCCUCAGAAAGUACACUACUACAUGUUGAGAACAUUGCGAGCAUGAAGAAUAUCAGGAAGGACUGUGAGGCACAACAAAUACAUGGUCAUUUACUUCUUCAGCAGAAAGGGACUUUUUGUUUUCUAUGUUGGCCUUGGAGUUGAUUGGAGUUGGAAUUGGAGUUGGCCUUGGAGUUUCGGUGAUUCUACUUGACCAUGAGCAGGCUCAUUUUGGCCUAUAACUGUGUAGUUUGUGCUCUGUAGUAGUAUGUGAUUUGAAAAGUUGUAAAUCUGGUUAUUGGAGUAAAGAUUGUACAAUGGAAUAUCCACGGGUUAAAGAGCCAAUUAAGUGCCGCCAGGAGAGCCAAGAGCCAAAGAAAAAGUAUAGGCUUGAAUGAAUAUAAUUUAUUAUCUUUGGAAAUCCUAAGCCUACAGGUACCCUACUUGAUAAAAAAUAAAUUUAUUUUGUAACUGUUUAUGACGUCGUAAGACAUCGCCGGCUGGAUAGUGGUAUUGUUAACAGUCUACCAUGCCAAGAUUUUUUAUCAUACUGUUGUUACGCCGUCUAUACAAUAUGCCGGGUACAGUGUACAUUGAGUCUGCACUUCUCACACUGCGUACUCACACGUUUGUCAUUCCUGUUGUAUCAUGUAGCCUUGCACAAAUAGUGCAAUCAAAAUUGUUUUAUAAAGGCAUACAUGUAUUUCUCAAAUUUGUAAAUUCUUAAUUGAAAUCUACCAAUUCAAGCAAUUAGAUAGCGUAGUGAUACACUAUCACUAGGGCCUACCGGUACUCUGCAUAUCUGUACUGUAAAAAAACGGUGCUCGUGGCUCUUGGCUCUCAGAUUGGGGUGUCCCAAUGACCACACCUGGUAUUCUAUAAGUUACUGUAGCUUAGCUCAGUGGAGUGACCUUUUUGUUUUCACUUUUAAAAACCUAUGCGAUUUGCCGCACUGAAGAGAUUGUUGGACUGGGUCCAUUGAAUGUGACAAAAAUACCCAACACCUAUUUACAAAUGAAGUGAGGGGUGAGCCUUUUGGUGUAACUCCAUAUAACUGUCUGGUGAUUUCGCUCUGGGCUUGUGACAUUCUGAUCGGUCUGAAAUAAUCAUUAAAGCCCAUCCCUCAAUUUGAGGCCUGUGUCCCGAUGGUGGCGUUGAAUGGCAAAAUCAAAGGGGCAUGACGGCGGUUAAACCUGUUGCGAAUGGGCAGCAUCAUUACCAGUUCUGAGAUCUGGUGUGGUGUAGGAUAUCUGGUUACCAUUGCACACAUCUCCUGAAUCUGCGGUGGGUUGGUACCCCACGCUACGUAGGGGGAGGUUGCUGGGUAAGACUUGGUCCACGUGAAUGGGUAGUACCUGAAAGAUGAGAAGUUGCGAAUGGACGCCCUGUGAAUAUGUCCUUCGACCAGCCAGUGCUAACCCGGUCACUGUCUCCAGGUCACCAUGCCUCGGUCAAUGAGCGGGCGAAGAACCCAAUGGCUCCGUCAGGAGUACAUCGUCAACUUCAGCCCGUAGUCAAA